RNAcentral lists this ribosomal RNA (440 nucleotides) under uncultured bacterium. RNAcentral describes it as "partial 16S ribosomal RNA". It matches the Rfam family "Bacterial small subunit ribosomal RNA", at positions 338 to 795 of the family's 1533-position model. The record is from RNAcentral.
CCUACGGGUGGCAGCAGUGGGGAAUAUUGCACAAUGGCGGAAACCCUGAUGCAGCGACGCCGCGUGAGUGAAGAAGUAAUUCGUUAUGUAAAGCUCUAUCAGCAGGGAAGAAAAUGACGGUACCUGAGUAAGAAGCCCCGGGCAAAUACGUGCCAGCAGCCGGGGUAACACGGCGGGGGCAAGCGUUAUCCGGAUUUAAUGGGCGUAAAGGGGGCGUAGACGGGAGUGCAAGUCUGGAGUGAAAGGCGGGGGUUCAACCCCCGGCCGGCUCUGGAAACUGGACGGCUGGAGUGCAGGAGAGGUAAGUGGAAUGCGUAGUGUAGCGGUGAAAUGCGUAGAUAUUAGGAAGAACACCAGUGGCGAAGGCAGCUUACUGGACUGUAACUGACGUUGAGGCUCGAAAGCGUGGGGAGCGAACAGGAUUAGAUACCCUAGUAGUC